GACAGAGGUGCCGAGCGUUAGGCGGAAUCACUGGGCUUAAAGCGUGUGUAGGCGGAUGGGUAAGUACCUUGUGAAAUCCCACGGCUCAACCGUGGAACUGCUUGGUAUACUGCUUGUCUUGAGCCAUCUAGGGGCGACCGGAACAAACGGUGGAGUGGUGAAAUGCGUAGAUAUCGAGAGGAACACCUGCGGCGAAGGCGGGUUGCUGGGCCGACACUGACGCUGAUGCGCGAAAGCCAGGGGAGCGAACGGG
This 253-nucleotide ribosomal RNA is filed under the name uncultured prokaryote. Its description in RNAcentral is "partial 16S ribosomal RNA". It matches the Rfam family "Bacterial small subunit ribosomal RNA", at positions 524 to 776 of the family's 1533-position model. The record is from RNAcentral.